CCUACGGGUGGCAGCAGUGAGGAAUAUUGGUCAAUGGGCUUACGCCUGAACCAGCCAAGUCGCGUGAGGGAAGACUGCCCUAUGGGUUGUAAACCUCUUUUGUCAGGGAGCAACGCCGGCUACGUGUAGCCUGACUGAUAGUACCUGCAGCAAAAGCAUCGGCUAACUCCGUGCCAGCAGCCGCGGUAAUACGGAGGAUGCGAGCGUUCUCCGGAUUUGUUGGGUUUAAAGGGAGCGUAGAUGGGUUGUUAAGUCAGUUGUGAAAGUUUGCGGCUCAACCGUAAAAUUGCAAUUGAUACUGGCAGCCUUGAGUACAGUUGAGGUAGGCGGAAUUCGUGGUGUAGCGGUGAAAUGCUUAGAUAUCACGAAGAACUCCGAUUGCGAAGGCAGCUUACUAAACUGCCACUGACAGUGAUGCUCGAAAGUGUGGGUAUCAAACAGGAUUAGAUACCCUAGUAGUC
RNAcentral lists this ribosomal RNA (461 nucleotides) under uncultured bacterium. RNAcentral's name for it is "partial 16S ribosomal RNA". It matches the Rfam family "Bacterial small subunit ribosomal RNA", at positions 338 to 795 of the family's 1533-position model. The record is from RNAcentral.